CCGUCAUUAGCGAAAUGACAGAACGUAAACGAUCAUCUCUAAACGAAAUAACAGUGCGGACCAGUGCAACGCAACGCAAACCUCCAAGUGAAACUAAUUUCAAAGUAAACAAGGAAGAAUUUAGUCCACCGUGUGCGCCCGUUAAGUAGUGUAUUGAGUUUUUUCUUUGCGGUUGUUGUUGUUCUCCAUCAUCGUCCUUCUGGGUGACUCAAACCCGUCACGUUGAGAGCGUGCGGUCCAGAUGGGGUCAUCAUGAAGUACUGUUUGGUGUUUCGUGUCAACCAGAGAUGCCAGUCUGACUAACUCCAGCGAUGGGAUACGCCAUGACAGUUGAAACCGCAGAAUUUACAUAACCUCGUCAUCACCGCCUAUAGACAUCUACAACCAGUUCCAUCGAUCGUCGAGAUUCAAUACAGGUCAUGACCAGCACACCAACACCGGCUGAUGAUUAGAACUAGAGACGAUGGGUUCCGUUCGAAGUAUUUACACUGCCAUUUCAGCACUUAAAAACAGCCUGGCACUCGGAAUGAUGUGGCGUUACUCAACUCACCUUCGAUUUUACUGUACUUUUUUGCCAUGCAAACGCACAUGCAUAUGUGGCCACAAUUAGACAGACGAACGGCUAAUAACAAUAACGUCAGAGCGUGAAGAAAAAAAAAGACCUACCCGAGCUGUGUGUAUUCCGAUCAUUCAGACAUGUUUUUUCCUACGCUUGCGUUUAAAAAUGGCGUCCAGACGCCCCUGGAGUGACAUUCUGCGUUUAGUUCGAAUUUACACGCGGUAUGCUUUUCCGUACCGUACCGCAACCAAGUAGGCGUUGUCGAUUCAGUAGAAUAACGUCAUAAAAGAAUCAAUUCGAAAAUGAUCAGUUAUCAAACAAACAUUUAUCAAUGGUGGUGGUAUAGCAUUCGUUCAAUGUUUGGGCUAGUUUGAUACGACGACAACAACAAGAAUAAUCAACUUGUGUCAACAACUCGACACCGCCAGCUCGUCGGUCCCCUUAAUCCAUACACCGCACCGAAAUGACGAACGAAUCACAGCGGUUAGCUUCCGUGGACUUCAAACAAUGCUCACCCUCCUGCCGUGAGGAAGCUUGGGUAACAGAGAAAUAGCGUGGCCACACGUUCAUAAAUCAUGUAAAACUGAAUGGACUGCUGUUCUACAUUUGUCCCGUUCCGGCAUCAUCCCACUGCAAUCUCCACAUCUCACGAGUCUGACAACUCUGCGUCAUACCGGAGUCAACGUCAAAAAUUCACAACUUUGCUGCUGUCACCGGUUGGUGCGUUCGAAGUCAGUAUCGACGCAGUUAACCAGAAUAAAGCUAGAUAACAGGAAACAAACAAUUGUUUGCCUCUGUCACAACAUUUCGCGAUGACUGCUAGCAUCGCCUAUAGGCAGCGAAGAAUGAGGUCUAGCCGCGCUCACCGGUAAGCGUUGGUGGCGAUGAUGAGUUACAUAAAAAGAAAACAAACAUGGCGACCUAACCCAGCCGAACCGGCAUCAGCAGCAGCAGCCGUAGUAGCAGCAUCUACAAUUUAUCUCCACCGUCGUAGUAGCGGAGCUGCACAGUUUCUCACACCAAUCGCUGUGCUAUUUACAAACUAACCAGUUACCUUCAAUAUUGUAAUCUAUGCGUGCGCCAGUAGAAGUGGGACUCUCCAACACUUCAUCAACAUUUCCCGUCUAGUUUGACAAAGCGAAAUGAACCACGUGGUUUGGUUUUGUUUGAGGGAAGAAUAAACACGUGGAACCGAACAACAUAAUCGAAAACUUCCGAUGAAGGAAAUGCUGUUGGAACAAAAUGAUCUUAUUAAUGGAUUAGAUUUCUCAGUAAAUUUAAUGAAUUGAUUCGUUAUCUGACAACUUAUCGCUCUUGUGAACGCCGUUCGAAACUUUCGCAAAAAAUCAAGGCCAGCUUAUGUUUGUAUUUUUUUUCUACAUGCCUGAAACAAACCGAUAAAGCGAAAAUCACACGUUCCCUAAGACGGCCAUAAUCGACUCCGGAGUUGACAGGUGGUAUCAUAUCACUCAGAAAAAUAUUUUGAGAUACAUGAGCCUGAUACCUGGUGGUAUUUUUCAAAAUACUUUCGUUGAACUAUUGGAAGAAAAUAAAAAUGGUUGAUAAAGUAGCAUAACCUAAUCAUCGAAACGACUCGAAAUUUGAAAAAAUAAACUAAUUCUCCUGUAAUUCUGGAUCCGAAAGAGGGAUGCGGAUAAAAUUCAAUAUCAGCCCAAAAGACAUUUCAUUCCAGUUCAUUUGAAUCAUUUUUGGCCCGAGUGGAAGUUAGUUAGUACAGGGUCCAUCAUGUAACUUUUUUUA
This is a long non-coding RNA of Malaya genurostris, 2320 nucleotides long. RefSeq lists it as uncharacterized. The transcript is spliced from 3 exons. The record is from RefSeq and is a predicted model, not a curated record. Lineage: Eukaryota; Metazoa; Arthropoda; Insecta; Diptera; Culicidae.